GGUGGGGUUCCCGAGCGGCCAAAGGGGGCAGACUGUAAAUCUGCCGUCAUCGACUUCGAAGGUUCGAAUCCUUCCCCCACCACCA
RNAcentral lists this transfer RNA (85 nucleotides) under Escherichia coli. RNAcentral's name for it is "tRNA-Tyr". It matches the Rfam family "tRNA". From Rfam's summary of the family: Transfer RNA (tRNA) molecules are approximately 80 nucleotides in length. Their secondary structure includes four short double-helical elements and three loops (D, anti-codon, and T loops). Lineage: Bacteria; Pseudomonadati; Pseudomonadota; Gammaproteobacteria; Enterobacterales; Enterobacteriaceae. RNAcentral also lists the same sequence under 4 other names. The record is from RNAcentral.